AUGAAAUUAUAUGCAUCAAUGUCUGGACAAUUUUUGUUUUACUUGUUUGGAAUAAGAUGUGAAAUGCAGCAUUGUUACAUUCACAAAUUAAAUAUUCGUUGCCAUUUGAUGGGAAGCUUAGCCCGCAAAAAAUGAUAUCAGUCACAUUCAAUGAUUGGUGAGAAUGGAAGUUUCCCCAGUUUUGAUAUCCUAAUAAUACUUUUUUCAUGCUUUUCAUGACUGAAGAAUGCACAACAUUUAGUAAGCUGCUUUUAAAUAAUCAAGAUUUUUCACUUCUGUUGGUAGUCGGAACAUACACAUGUUUCUUAUUGGCUUCUUUUUUUUUUAAUCUUUUCUUUGGCUGAAGUAUAAAAGUGCAUGUGGGUUCUUGAUUUGGUUCUGUUGUUCAAAUGAAGCACCCUAGGCUGCUGUUGUCAUUUCAUAGGUCAACUGUUAGAUCCAGAGUUUAGUCCAGGCUUUUCAUAAAUAUUGAGUUGAAUUUCAACCUCAUUCUUUCAGUUUUUUUCUUUGUGUUGUCUGUUUUAUCCAUUUGCCAUAUGCAUGUGUUGGUCCAUGGCCUAACUAAGGUAAUUAGGUGGGUUGGCAAUUUUUGUGUAGGGAGGAUCAUAAGGUCAAACCAUGAUGUUUUCUUUGUGUACCCAAAUGAAAUAGUUUUGACAUCAGUUUGCUAUCAAUCUCUGUUGGAAAGAGCGAAUUAUAUUUUAAUAACAGCCUUUAAGAAAAACUAAGGAAAGAAAGAAAAGCCAUUAUUUGAAAAAUUGCAUGAUUAGUUUAGAACAUGUUUGAAGUGCCCUCUCUAUUUUGGUUCCAAUAGCCAUUAGGUCAGGUGUCUCUUAGAGAUUUUUGGAUUGUAAAAUAAACUUAGAUAAAAGCUAUCUCAAGCAUUCAAGCUUGUAGAAGGGGUAAGGAAUCUUGAAUCAUAAUGAAGUUAAUAGCCUGUUUGAGAUUGUGAUUCUGACCUGCUUUUUGAAAAAACACCAUUUGCCAAAAAAAAAUAAUAAUAAUAAAAAUGAGAAGGGCAUUGGUAGAU
RNAcentral lists this unclassified non-coding RNA (1030 nucleotides) under Hevea brasiliensis (rubber tree). The record is from RNAcentral. Lineage: Eukaryota; Viridiplantae; Streptophyta; Magnoliopsida; Malpighiales; Euphorbiaceae.